RNAcentral lists this ribosomal RNA (253 nucleotides) under uncultured prokaryote. Its description in RNAcentral is "partial 16S ribosomal RNA". It matches the Rfam family "Bacterial small subunit ribosomal RNA", at positions 524 to 776 of the family's 1533-position model. The record is from RNAcentral.
UACGAAGGGAGCUAGCGUUGUUCGGAGUCACUGGGCGUAAAGCGCACGUAGGCGGGUUUGUCAGUCAGGGGUGAAAUCCCGGAGCUCAACUCCGGAACUGCCCUUGAUACAGCAAGCCUUGAGUCCGGAAGAGGUAGGUGGAAUUCCUAGUGUAGAGGUGAAAUUCGUAGAUAUUAGGAAGAACACCAGUGGCGAAGGCGGCCUACUGGUCCGGCACUGACGCUGAGGUGCGAAAGCGUGGGGAGCAAACAGG